GAAAAGAAACCAACAGGGAUUGCCCUAGUAACGGCGAGUGAAGCGGCAACAGCUCAAAUUUGAAAUCUGGCUUCGGCCCGAGUUGUAAUUUGCAGAGGAUGUUUAUGGUGCGGUGCCUUCCGAGUUCCCUGGAACGGGACGCCACAGAGGGUGAGAGCCCCGUCUGGUUGGACACCAAGCCUGUGUUAAACUCCCUCAACGAGUCGAGUAGUUUGGGAAUGCUGCUCUAAAUGGGAGGUAAAUCUCUUCUAAAGCUAAAUACUGGCCAGAGACCGAUAGCGCACAAGUAGAGUGAUCGAAAGAUGAAAAGCACCUUGAAAAGGGAGUUAAACAGUACGUGAAAUUGUUGAAAGGGAAGCGUUUAUGACCAGACUUGUGCCGUGUGGCUCAUCCGGGGCUCUCCCCGGUGCACUCCACACGGUUCAGGCCAACAUCGGUUUCCGCCGGGGGAUAAGAACAGCAGGAACGUGGCUCUCUCCGGGGAGUGUUAUAGCCUGUUGUACGAUACCCUGGCGGGGACCGAGGACCGCGCUUCGGCUAGGAUGUUGGCGUAAUGGUCAUUAGCGAC
Molecule: ribosomal RNA, 568 nt
Filed under: Anisogramma virgultorum
Lineage: Eukaryota; Fungi; Ascomycota; Sordariomycetes; Diaporthales; Gnomoniaceae
Description: eukaryotic LSU rRNA
Rfam family: Eukaryotic large subunit ribosomal RNA
Source: RNAcentral